GUUUUGCAGUGGACGUCACCAUCUUUAUGGGGGUUCUGGACCCCAGUCUGCUCCAUCCCAUGGGUGUGUCCCCUGUGCAGACUGUGCCACCCAUUCUCGGUGCUGUGUGUGUGUGGAGAUCUGGCACGAUGAACCUCCACGGCCCCUGUGGUUAAUCUGGUGUUUGGACUCGGACCAUUACCCAGCCUUCCAUCUGCACAGUUCCAGGAGCUGUGACUUCCAUGAGCAGUGAUGUGGCCAUCUUCUGCAGGACCCCUCUGGGAGUGACCAGUGUGCACCUAACCCAUUAUAUACCCAGUAUGUGUGCAAAGUGGUAUGAGUGAAUCCCACAAGGAUCCCAGGAAGUGUUUAAGUUCAGUCUGCAGAAUACGACACACACCAAUGCGGGGGUUUACUACUGUGGAUACUACAAGGAAGACCAAUGGUCAUGACUUAGUGGCAACUUGGAGCUGGGGGUGACAGUGUGUUUAAUAGAACAGAGGAUCUGGGCACAGCAUGGGCCACCACCCGAGCCUUCCAUCUGGGCAGUUCCAGGAGCUGUGAUUUCCACAGGCAGUGCUGUGACCAUCUUCUGCAGGACCCCUCCAGGAGUGACUUAUGUGCGUCUAACCCAUUAUGUGCAGGAUGGAAAGUGGUUUGAUUGCAUCCCACAGGGAGCCCAGGAGGUGUUUGAAUUCAGUCUGCAGAAUAUGACA
This is a non-coding RNA of Peromyscus maniculatus bairdii (prairie deer mouse), 695 nucleotides long. The record is from RefSeq and is a predicted model, not a curated record. NCBI's taxonomy places the organism in Eukaryota, Metazoa, Chordata, Mammalia, Rodentia, Cricetidae.